Molecule: RNA transcript, 2248 nt
Organism: Rosa chinensis
Lineage: Eukaryota; Viridiplantae; Streptophyta; Magnoliopsida; Rosales; Rosaceae
Gene name: spermine synthase
Exons: 12
Source: RefSeq, a predicted model, not a curated record
ACGCCAUUCUCGUCCAAACCAAACUGGGCAGAACACAAAAGCCAGAUAGCCAGAACCCAAAGCUAGUUCUAGAGAGAGAAAGAGAUAGAGAGAGAAACUCAUACUGUUUAACUCUGACAACACAGACUAGAUUCCAGAGUCUAGUUCAGCCCAGGUUCUCCAUAUUUCAAAGCAAAACCCAAUCUUUCUCUCAUCAACGUCAGAGGCUGGAGUCGGAGAAGAAAAAGAUAGUCUAUGGGGGAAGACGCAGGAAGAGGUUUGGAAUGCCAGAAGACUAUGGAUGGGAAGGUGAGUAACAGAAACGGUUCAGAGAAGGCCAUUCCUUCUUGUUGCUUGAAGGCUAGGGCUUCAGAUCCUGAGGCCGAUGCAAUAAGCCAUUCUACUGUUGUUUCUGGGUGGUUUUCAGAAUCCCAGUCUCGCACAGAUAAGGCUAGUAGAAAGACUUACUUCAACAACCCGAUGUGGCCUGGUGAAGCUCACUCACUGAAAGUAGAAAACAUUCUAUUCAAGGAUAAAUCAGAGUUCCAAGAGGUUUUGGUUUUUGAGUCUUCAACAUAUGGAAAAGUGCUUGUUCUUGAUGGCAUCAUUCAGCUGAGUGAGAAGGACGAAUGUGCAUACCAGGAGAUGAUAACUCAUCUACCUCUUUGUUCGAUUCCCUCCCCAAAAAAUGUUCUGGUUGUCGGUGGUGGUGACGGUGGAGUUCUUAGGGAGAUAUCACGCCAUCCUUCUGUUGAGCAUAUUGAUAUAUGUGAGAUAGAUAAGAUGGUUAUAGAUGUGUCUAAGAAGUUUUUUCCAGAGUUAGCUGUUGGAUUUGAGGACCCUCGUGUCCAUCUGCAUGUUGGUGAUGCUACUGAAUUCUUGAGGCAUGCACCUGAAGGGAAGUAUGAUGCUAUAAUUGUUGAUUCAUCAGAUCCUGUAGGUCCUGCUCAAGAGCUUGUAGAGAAGCCAUUUUUUGAGACAAUCGCUAGAGCAUUAAGGCCUGGCGGUGUUCUCUGUAACAUGGCAGAGAGUAUGUGGCUCCAUACACAUCUUAUUGAAGAUAUGAUCUCUGUUUGCCAUCUAACAUUCAAGGGGUCAGUCAACUAUGCAUGGGCGAGUGUUCCUACAUAUCCAAGUGGUGUUAUAGGUUUUCUGCUAUGCUCAACAGAAGGGCCUCCUGUUGAUUUUAAAAAUCCAGUCAACUCCAUUGAGAAGUUGGAAGGAGCUGUCAAACACAGAAGAGAACUUCGGUUCUAUAACUCUGAGAUGCACUCAGCUGCCUUUGCCUUGCCUACUUUUUUGAGGAAGGAGGUGAGCGCACUCCGUGAUUCUUCAACUCCAGCAAGACAAAGUGGCUUGUCCUAGUAAAUAACUAGCGACAACUGGUUACUCUAUCUUCCUGAUUAUUGAAAUGAGUACCGCAUGGAAGAAUAGAGACCAGGGUAUAGCCGCAGGUACCCAAGUUCUUGGGAGUAAGUAGACAAUUGAGGAGCUUUUAUAUGCUUCUUUAAUCGAUUGCGGCGACGGGCUCUUAUGGAAGAAAGAGCCAAUUCCUCCAGCUGAGAAUUGUUUCUGUUCAAAUCGGGAACUGCCUUGCUGAAAUGCCACCAGAAUUUGGAGACCACAGCCUUCAAGUCCUUUGCCAUGAGAGAAAAGGCUUCAACUUUUGUAUGGCAUUUUACAUUUUGGGUCGAGAUAGGGAGGUCGGAGAAGGACAUGUAUGAGGCAGCCCAACUCAAAAGUUCUUCUCCAUAGAAAUCACCUUUACCAAGACACUCUGUGAUUGAGGAACCCAAUUUUAUUGAACCAUCAGUACUUGUUGUGUAAGUCCAUAUAAUGCCUUCUGCGUUGAAGAGCAUUAGAUCAAGUGGUUCUCCUGCUCGAAUUACAUAACUGUUCUCUGUGUAGAUUACUGGUUUCAGAUUGUCGCAGAUGAGUUUUAACACACUUUCAUCCAUAUAUCGAAGCAUCGGUACCUAUAUAUAUAAAGCUCAGGUGAAUCCAAUAAGAAUUAGAACAUGCAAGAUAAUUCAUGGACUGAAGCCAAGUUUGGGGAAGCAAGUAUUUACUUUCUUAAGUGAGUCCAUGCAGAGAAGGCGCUUUAUGGACCUUCUGUCCUUCAGGGGAAGAAUAGAGAGUAGAUUCUCCACAUGAACAUCUUUGUUCUCUUCCAAUUUCUGUCUUACGUUUUCGAUGAUCACUGUCUUCAUAUCGUUAGGGAGAUGAUUUCUGGACAUCCACCAUUGUAUCUCUAGCUCUUUCAUUAUCA